RNAcentral lists this ribosomal RNA (382 nucleotides) under uncultured eukaryote. RNAcentral describes it as "partial 18S ribosomal RNA". It matches the Rfam family "Eukaryotic small subunit ribosomal RNA", at positions 592 to 976 of the family's 1831-position model. The record is from RNAcentral.
UGUAAGCGUAUACCAAAGUUGUUGCAGUUAAAACGCUCGUAGUCGGAAUUUGGCAGUUCCGGAAGUGUGCACGUCGUGUGCGCACUUUGCGGGGACUGCUUUUGUGGUCUUGCGUAGGAUGAGGCACUUUCAUUAGUGAACGUCCUCACGCAACCACUCUUUACUGUGAGAAAAUCAGAGUGCUCAAAGCAGGCAUUUGCCGUGAAUGUAUUAGCAUGGAAUAAUAGAAUAGGACUCGGUUCUAUUUUGUUGGUUUGUUGGGACUGAGUAAUGAUUAAGAGGGACAGUUGGGGGCAUUUGUAUUCCGGCGCUAGAGGUGAAAUUCUUAGAUUGCCGGAAGACAAACUGCUGCGAAAGCGUCUGCCAAGGAUGUCUUCAUUGA